Molecule: ribosomal RNA, 384 nt
Filed under: Shigella flexneri
Lineage: Bacteria; Pseudomonadati; Pseudomonadota; Gammaproteobacteria; Enterobacterales; Enterobacteriaceae
Description: bacterial SSU rRNA
Rfam family: Bacterial small subunit ribosomal RNA
Source: RNAcentral
CGGAGCUAACGCGUUAAGUCGACCGCCUGGGGAGUACGGCCGCAAGGUUAAAACUCAAAUGAAUUGACGGGGGCCCGCACAAGCGGUGGAGCAUGUGGUUUAAUUCGAUGCAACGCGAAGAACCUUACCUGGUCUUGACAUCCACGGAAGUUUUCAGAGAUGAGAAUGUGCCUUCGGGAACCGUGAGACAGGUGCUGCAUGGCUGUCGUCAGCUCGUGUUGUGAAAUGUUGGGUUAAGUCCCGCAACGAGCGCAACCCUUAUCCUUUGUUGCCAGCGGUCCGGCCGGGAACUCAAAGGAGACUGCCAGUGAUAAACUGGAGGAAGGUGGGGAUGACGUCAAGUCAUCAUGGCCCUUACGACCAGGGCUACACACGUGCUACAAU